GAAAAACUGUAGAGAAAAAUCAGCCAGAGACUCCAGCCCUUAGGAGCAGUUGCAGAAACAACCAAAGCAGGGACCUUUGGACAUUCAGGCAACUUAGUAUAGGUACAUGCUGAUGGGAGCUAUAUCAAAUAAUAUACAUAUCCGGAAAUGGUGAACAUUUGACUAUUAUGCUGCCUCGAUCUCUACCUGUCUCAAAAAGCCAGGAAUGCAAGCGUAAAGGUUCCAACAAUGAAGUGCCAGUCUACCAAGCCAGAGAUCUUUCUUCCUUCAGAUCUCUGCCAAACACUAACUUCUGUGUUG
Mauremys reevesii (Reeves's turtle) is the source of this 300-nucleotide long non-coding RNA. RefSeq lists it as uncharacterized. The transcript has 3 exons. The record is from RefSeq and is a predicted model, not a curated record. Lineage: Eukaryota; Metazoa; Chordata; Testudines; Geoemydidae.